UGGGGAAUAUUGCGCAAUGGGCGGAAGCCUGACGCAGCGACGCCGCGUGGGGGAUGACGGCCUUCGGGUUGUAAACCUCUUUCAGCACCGACGAAGCGAAAGUGACGGUAGGUGCAGAAGAAGCUCCGGCUAACUACGUGCCAGCAGCCGCGGUAAGACGUAGGGGGCUAGCGUUGUCCGGAUUUAUUGGGCGUAAAGAGCUCGUAGGUGGCUUGUCGCGUCGGUUGUGAAAACCUGCAGCUUAACUGUGGGCGUGCAGCCGAUACGGGCGGGCUAGAGGCAGGUAGGGGAGAGUGGAAUUCCUGGUGUAGCGGUGAAAUGCGCAGAUAUCAGGAGGAACACCGGUGGCGAAGGCGGCUCUCUGGACCUGUUCUGACGCUGAGGAGCGAAAGCGUGGGGAGCGAACAGGAUUAGAUACCCUGGUAGUCCACGCCGUAAACGUUGGGCGCUAGGUGUGGGAACCACUCCACGGUUUCCGUGCCGUAGCUAACGCAUUAAGCGCCCCGCCUGGGGAGUACGGCCGC
This 524-nucleotide ribosomal RNA is filed under the name uncultured bacterium. RNAcentral's name for it is "bacterial SSU rRNA". It matches the Rfam family "Bacterial small subunit ribosomal RNA", at positions 355 to 889 of the family's 1533-position model. The record is from RNAcentral.